This is a non-coding RNA of Mycena epipterygia, 91 nucleotides long. The record is from the annotation of a GenBank genome assembly. Lineage: Eukaryota; Fungi; Basidiomycota; Agaricomycetes; Agaricales; Mycenaceae.
UUGGAUGUGGUGUACGGCGCACGCCCGCAUGCUUUGAAGUAGUCGACGCUAUAUGCGGCGGGAAGCCUGGGUUCAACUCCCAGCAUCCAAA